CAUGAAGUCGGAAUUGCUAGUAAUGGCAGGUCAGCAUACUGCCGUGAAUACGUUCCCGGGCCUUGUACACACCGCCCGUCACACCAUGAGAGUUGGAGAUACCCGAAGCCUGUGAGCUAACAGAAAUGGAGCAGCAGUCGAAGGUAGAAUCAAUGAUUGGGGUGAAGUCGUAACAAGGUAUC
This 182-nucleotide ribosomal RNA is filed under the name uncultured bacterium. RNAcentral's name for it is "partial 16S ribosomal RNA". It matches the Rfam family "Bacterial small subunit ribosomal RNA", at positions 1319 to 1500 of the family's 1533-position model. The record is from RNAcentral.